UGGGGAAUUUUGGACAAUGGGCGAAAGCCUGAUCCAGCAAUGCCGCGUGUGUGAAGAAGGCCUUCGGGUUGUAAAGCACUUUUGUCCGGAAAGAAAUCCUUGGCUCUAAUACAGUCGGGGGAUGACGGUACCGGAAGAAUAAGCACCGGCUAACUACGUGUCAGCAGCCGCGGUAAUACGUAGGGUGCAAGCGUUAAUCGGAAUUACUGGGCGUAAAGCGUGCGCAGGCGGUUUGCUAAGACCGAUGUGAAAUCCCCGGGCUCAACCUGGGAACUGCAUUGGUGACUGGCAGGCUAGAGUAUGGCAGAGGGGGGUAGAAUUCCACGUGUAGCAGUGAAAUGCGUAGAGAUGUGGAGGAAUACCGAUGGCGAAGGCAGCCCCCUGGGCCAAUACUGACGCUCAUGCACGAAAGCGUGGGGAGCAAACAGGAUUAGAUACCCUGGUAGUCCACGCCCUAAACGAUGUCAACUAGUUGUUGGGGAUUCAUUUCCUUAGUAACGUAGCUAACGCGUGAAGUUGACCGCCUGGGGAGUACGGUCGCAAGAUUAAAACUCAAAUGAAUUGACGGGGUCAUAGCUGUUUCCU
This 585-nucleotide ribosomal RNA is filed under the name uncultured bacterium. RNAcentral's name for it is "partial 16S ribosomal RNA". It matches the Rfam family "Bacterial small subunit ribosomal RNA", at positions 355 to 1375 of the family's 1533-position model. The record is from RNAcentral.